GGGCGGUUAGCUCAGCUGGUCAGAGCGCCUGCUUUACACGCAGGAGGUCGUCGGUUCGAGUCCGACACUGCCCA
RNAcentral lists this transfer RNA (74 nucleotides) under Solirubrobacterales bacterium. RNAcentral's name for it is "tRNA-Val". It matches the Rfam family "tRNA". Rfam says of the family: Transfer RNA (tRNA) molecules are approximately 80 nucleotides in length. Lineage: Bacteria; Bacillati; Actinomycetota; Thermoleophilia; Solirubrobacterales. The record is from RNAcentral. RNAcentral also lists the same sequence under 1 other name.